RNAcentral lists this ribosomal RNA (352 nucleotides) under Ixodes scapularis (black-legged tick). Its description in RNAcentral is "partial 16S ribosomal RNA". Lineage: Eukaryota; Metazoa; Arthropoda; Arachnida; Ixodida; Ixodidae. The record is from RNAcentral.
GGUAUUGAAAUAAGAUUUUAAAUGAGUGCUAAGAGAAUGAUUAAACAAUUAAAAGCUUUCUUUAAUUAAAAAAUUAAAUUUAAUUUUUUUAGUGCAAAAGCAAAAAUAAAAUUUAGGGACAAGAAGACCCUAUGAAUUUUUAUUGUUAAUAAUUAAUAUUUAAGUAAUUAAUAAUUUAAUUGGGGCGAUAAAAAAAGAAUAAGUAUCUUUUUAGUUAUAAAAUAAGUUCCGUUUUUAGCGAUUAAAUGAAAUAAAUACUCUAGGGAUAACAGCGUAAUAAUUUUGGAUAGUUCAUAUAGAUAAAAUAGUUUGCGACCUCGAUGUUGGAUUAGGAUUCUUUUUUGGUGAAGAA